CCUACGGGUGGCAGCAGUGGGGAAUUUUGCGCAAUGGGGGAAACCCUGACGCAGCAACGCCGCGUGCGGGACGACGGCUCUCGGGUUGUAAACCGCUUUCAGUGGGGACGAUGAUGACGGUACCCACAGAAGAAGCUCCGGCUAACUACGUGCCAGCAGCCGCGGUAAUACGUAGGGAGCGAGCGUUAUCCGGAUUCAUUGGGCGUAAAGCGCGCGUAGGCGGCUGCCUAAGCGGAAGCUAUAAUCCCGGGGCUCAACCUCGGGACGGUUUGCGAACUGGGCGGCUGGAGUGCGGUAGAGGCAGGCGGAAUUCCUGGUGUAGCGGUGGAAUGCGUAGAUAUCGGGAAGAACACCGAUGGCGAAGGCAGCCUGCUGGGCCGACACUGACGUUGAGGCGCGAAAGCUUGGGGAGCGAACAGGAUUAGAUACCCCAGUAGUC
This 439-nucleotide ribosomal RNA is filed under the name uncultured bacterium. Its description in RNAcentral is "partial 16S ribosomal RNA". It matches the Rfam family "Bacterial small subunit ribosomal RNA", at positions 338 to 795 of the family's 1533-position model. The record is from RNAcentral.